GACGUAGGGCGCGAGCGUUGUCCGGAUUUAUUGGGCGUAAAGAGCUCGUAGGCGGCUUGUCGCGUCGACUGUGAAAACCCGUGGCUCAACCAUGUGGUCUGCAGUCGAUACGGGCAGGCUAGAAUUCGGUAGGGGAGACUGGAAUUCCUGGUGUAGCGGUGAAGUGCGCAGAUAUCAGGAGGAACACCGGUGGCGAAGGCGGGUCUCUGGGCCGAUAUUGACGCUGAGGAGCGAAAGCGUGGGGAGCGAACAGG
This 254-nucleotide ribosomal RNA is filed under the name uncultured bacterium. Its description in RNAcentral is "partial 16S ribosomal RNA". It matches the Rfam family "Bacterial small subunit ribosomal RNA", at positions 524 to 776 of the family's 1533-position model. The record is from RNAcentral.